CCACUAUUCCACUACUUGGCCCUAUCAGAUCCCGCACCCAUUAAAACCUCCCCACUAUUCCACUACUUGGCUUUAUCAGACCCUACACCCAUUAAAACCUCCCCACUAUUCCACUACUUGGCCCUAUCAGAUCCUACACCCAUUAAAACCUCCCCACUAUUCCACUACUUGGCCCUAUCAGAUCCUGCACCAGGCCUCUUUUCCACUGGAAUAGUGGGGAGGUUUUAGUGGGUGCAGGAUCUGAUAGGGCCAAGUAGUGGAAUAGUGGGGAGGUUUUAAUGGGUGUAGGCUCUGAUAGGGCCAAGUAGUGGAAUAGUGGGGAGGUUUUAAUGGGUGUAGGCUCUGAUAGGGCCAAGUAGUGGAAUAGUGGGGAGGUUUUAAUGGGUGUAGGAUCU
Long non-coding RNA from Oncorhynchus tshawytscha (Chinook salmon), 395 nucleotides. Lineage: Eukaryota; Metazoa; Chordata; Actinopteri; Salmoniformes; Salmonidae. The record is from Ensembl.